Molecule: ribosomal RNA, 371 nt
Filed under: uncultured bacterium
Lineage: Bacteria
Description: bacterial SSU rRNA
Rfam family: Bacterial small subunit ribosomal RNA
Source: RNAcentral
GACGAACGCUGGCGGCGUGCUUAACACAUGCAAGUCGAGCGGUAAGGCCCUUUCGGGGGUACACGAGCGGCGAACGGGUGAGUAACACGUGGGUGACCUGCCCUCAGCUCUGGGAUAAGCCUGGGAAACCGGGUCUAAUACUGGAUAUGACUCCAUGACGCAUGUUGUGGGGUGGAAAGCCUUGUGCGGCUGAGGAUGGGCCCGCGGCCUAUCAGCUUGUUGGUGGGGUGAUGGCCUACCAAGGCGACGACGGGUAGCCGGCCUGAGAGGGCGACCGGCCACACUGGGACUGAGACACGGCCCAGACUCCUACGGGAGGCAGCAGUGGGGAAUCUUGCGCAAUGGGCGAAAGCCUGACGCAGCGACGCCGC